This 179-nucleotide non-coding RNA is filed under the name Candidatus Mailhella merdavium. RNAcentral describes it as "6S RNA". It matches the Rfam family "6S / SsrS RNA". From Rfam's summary of the family: E. coli 6S RNA was the first non coding RNA to be sequenced, but its function was unknown until recently. It consists of 184 nucleotides that fold into an extended hairpin structure with a large single-stranded internal bulge. The 6S RNA specifically associates with RNA polymerase holoenzyme containing the sigma70 specificity factor. Lineage: Bacteria; Pseudomonadati; Thermodesulfobacteriota; Desulfovibrionia; Desulfovibrionales; Desulfovibrionaceae. The record is from RNAcentral.
AAUUCCCUGAAAUGUUCGUGGGGAUGCGACGGUGCCGGCCUCACAUUCGUCGUUAGGGAGCCGGUCGCCGAAGUGGUGUUCAUGCCCGGUCUGCCGGGAAGUCUGAAGCUUCGGCCAAGCCCCCACCCUGGGACACCAGGUCUCGUGCUCGCGCAUGCUCACGGCAUUUUGGGGACUUU